UGUUUUUGAGAUUUACAGGGACAUUCAAUUGUCAAUUUGUACCACACCUGCUUCCAGACCUCCUGCUGCAGUGUUUAGAAGUGUCCACUUGUUGUCUGAAACCUGAAGCCACCUUUAUUCCAGGAGCAAGAGAGCCUUGGAGAGCAGAUAACCCCAGGAAGAGAUUGCCUCCUCCAUGUGGACGCAAUCACUCCGUGAGGGAGAUGGAGGCUGUCAUCUCACGCAGUCAUCUCAUGGGAAGUGGACUGUCCCCUCAACCCGUUUCAAAGGGAUUAUGAAGUCCCCUCAGUGCUGAGGAUGGGAGAGAAACAUGCAUGUGCGUUUUGCUGCUUUGUCCCAGAAGAAUCAAAGUCAUCUCCAGUCCUGCUUUGUUGGUCAUCUCUUAGUUUUUAGAAUCCCAUGUCCCUUGUACUUUGCUACCUACUAGCAAUCUCUUCCUCACUCUGAAUUUCUCCCCUGUCCUUUCAGCAGACUUAACACCAAAUUCCUGUUCAUUUCUCAUCCAAAGCAGUUAUUUUUUGUUUUCCUUAUGCCAGGCUAAC
Molecule: long non-coding RNA, 542 nt
Filed under: Chinchilla lanigera (long-tailed chinchilla)
Lineage: Eukaryota; Metazoa; Chordata; Mammalia; Rodentia; Chinchillidae
Description: lncRNA (ENSCLAG00000024745.1)
Source: RNAcentral